RNAcentral lists this transfer RNA (87 nucleotides) under Pseudomonadota bacterium. Its description in RNAcentral is "Proteobacteria bacterium (cold seep metagenome) tRNA-Leu". It matches the Rfam family "tRNA". Rfam says of the family: Transfer RNA (tRNA) molecules are approximately 80 nucleotides in length. Their secondary structure includes four short double-helical elements and three loops (D, anti-codon, and T loops). Lineage: Bacteria; Pseudomonadati; Pseudomonadota. The record is from RNAcentral.
GCCAGUGUGUUGGAAUUGGUAGACAAAGCGGAUUCAAAAUCCGCCGCUAGCAAUAGCGUGGCGGUUCGAGUCCGCCCACUGGUACCA